Molecule: long non-coding RNA, 397 nt
Filed under: Papio anubis (olive baboon)
Lineage: Eukaryota; Metazoa; Chordata; Mammalia; Primates; Cercopithecidae
Description: lncRNA (ENSPANG00000044123.1)
Source: RNAcentral
AGCACCCAAUCCAAAUGGAAAAAAAAGUCCAGAGGAAACAUUAAUCAGGUGUGAAUCUUACAGAUGAGAAAAUUGUGAGGGGCAGUAGGAUAGCAGAGGAAAAGCAUCUGUCUGGUGUUUGUUGGAUCACCAAGCCCAGGAGGAUGGGUUGCCUAGCAACUCUCAGUCACUUCAGACCAGUGCUAGGCAACAAGAUGCAAUCUGUCAGCCACAUCUGAUCGGUGUUUUCUCCUGGCUUUUAGAAGACAUCAGCAGUGAGGUUUGAAGUGAUGCUUGACACCACGGUAUAGAACCUCUUGGAAUCCUUGCCACAAUUCUUGGAAGUAACUGUUAUUACUUUUAUUUUCAAAGUGAGGAAAUGGAUAGGAAUGGCCAUGAAGCAUGAGCAUGAACUGAA